CAAACCAAAGCUGGCGACCGGCGCACGGGUGAGUAACACGUAUCCAACCUGCCCCAUACUCGGGGAUAGCCUUUCGAAAGAAAGAUUAAUAUCCGAUAGCAUAUAUUUCCCGCAUGGGUUUUAUAUUAAAGAAAUUCGGUAUGAGAUGGGGAUGCGUUCCAUUAGUUUGUUGGGGGGGUAACGGCCCACCAAGACUACGAUGGAUAGGGGUUCUGAGAGGAAGGUCCCCCACAUUGGAACUGAGACACGGUCCAA
RNAcentral lists this ribosomal RNA (255 nucleotides) under uncultured bacterium. RNAcentral describes it as "partial 16S ribosomal RNA". It matches the Rfam family "Bacterial small subunit ribosomal RNA", at positions 74 to 334 of the family's 1533-position model. The record is from RNAcentral.